Molecule: ribosomal RNA, 897 nt
Filed under: Staphylococcus sp.
Lineage: Bacteria; Bacillati; Bacillota; Bacilli; Caryophanales; Staphylococcaceae
Description: bacterial SSU rRNA
Rfam family: Bacterial small subunit ribosomal RNA
Source: RNAcentral
AGCGACAGAUAAGGAGCUUGCUCCUUUGACGUUAGCGGCGGACGGGUGAGUAACACGUGGGUAACCUACCUAUAAGACUGGGAUAACUUCGGGAAACCGGAGCUAAUACCGGAUAACAUUUGGAACCGCAUGGUUCUAAAGUGAAAGAUGGUUUUGCUAUCACUUAUAGAUGGACCCGCGCCGUAUUAGCUAGUUGGUAAGGUAACGGCUUACCAAGGCGACGAUACGUAGCCGACCUGAGAGGGUGAUCGGCCACACUGGAACUGAGACACGGUCCAGACUCCUACGGGAGGCAGCAGUAGGGAAUCUUCCGCAAUGGGCGAAAGCCUGACGGAGCAACGCCGCGUGAGUGAUGAAGGGUUUCGGCUCGUAAAACUCUGUUAUUAGGGAAGAACAAACGUGUAAGUAACUGUGCAUGUCUUGACGGUACCUAAUCAGAAAGCCACGGCUAACUACGUGCCAGCAGCCGCGGUAAUACGUAGGUGGCAAGCGUUAUCCGGAAUUAUUGGGCGUAAAGCGCGCGUAGGCGGUUUCUUAAGUCUGAUGUGAAAGCCCACGGCUCAACCGUGGAGGGUCAUUGGAAACUGGGAAACUUGAGUGCAGAAGAGGAAAGUGGAAUUCCAUGUGUAGCGGUGAAAUGCGCAGAGAUAUGGAGGAACACCAGUGGCGAAGGCGACUUUCUGGUCUGUAACUGACGCUGAUGUGCGAAAGCGUGGGGAUCAAACAGGAUUAGAUACCCUGGUAGUCCACGCCGUAAACGAUGAGUGCUAAGUGUUAAGGGGGUUUCCGCCCCCUUAGUGCUGCAGCUAACGCAUUAAGCACUCCGCCCUGGGGGAGUACGACCGCCAAGGUUGAAAACUCAAAGGGAAUUGACGGGGGACCCGCACAAGCGGUGGA